RNAcentral lists this transfer RNA (49 nucleotides) under Sphenomorphus melanopogon. Its description in RNAcentral is "partial tRNA-His". Lineage: Eukaryota; Metazoa; Chordata; Lepidosauria; Squamata; Scincidae. The record is from RNAcentral.
GUUAAUAUAGUUUAAUAAAAACAUUAGGUUGUGGUCCUAAAAAUAGAAG